GACGAACGCUGGCGGCGUGCUUAACACAUGCAAGUCGAACGGAAAGGCCCUGCUUUUGUGGGGUGCUCGAGUGGCGAACGGGUGAGUAACACGUGAGUAACCUGCCCUUGACUUUGGGAUAACCUCAGGAAACUGGGGCUAAUACCGGAUAGGAGCUCCUGCUGCAUGGUGGGGGUUGGAAAGUUUCGGCGGUUGGGGAUGGACUCGCGGCUUAUCAGCUUGUUGGUGGGGUAGUGGCUUACCAAGGCUUUGACGGGUAGCCGGCCUGAGAGGGUCACCGGCCACAUUGGGACUGAAAUGCGACACAGACUCCUACGGGAGGCAGCGGUGGGGAAUAGUGCACAAUGGGCGGAAGCCUGGUGCAGCAACGCCGCGUGCGGGAUGACGGCCUUCGGGUUGUAAUGCGCUUUCGCCUGUGACGAAGCGUUAGUGACGGUAAUGGGUAAAGAAGCACCGGCUAACUACGUG
RNAcentral lists this ribosomal RNA (468 nucleotides) under uncultured bacterium. RNAcentral describes it as "partial 16S ribosomal RNA". It matches the Rfam family "Bacterial small subunit ribosomal RNA", at positions 28 to 507 of the family's 1533-position model. The record is from RNAcentral.